This 481-nucleotide ribosomal RNA is filed under the name uncultured bacterium. RNAcentral's name for it is "partial 16S ribosomal RNA". It matches the Rfam family "Bacterial small subunit ribosomal RNA", at positions 29 to 507 of the family's 1533-position model. The record is from RNAcentral.
AUGAACGCUGGCGGCGUGCCUAAUCCAUGCACGUCGAACGCUUCACUUCGGUGAAGAGUGGCGAACGGGUGAGUAAUACAUAAGUAACCUGGCAUCUACAGGGGGAUAACUGAUGGAAACGUCAGCUAAGACCGCAUAGGUGUAGAGAUCGCAUGAACUCUAUAUGAAAAGUGCUACGGGACUGGUAGAUGAUGGACUUAUGGCGCAUUAGCUUGUUGGUAGGGUAACGGCCUACCAAGGCGACGAUGCGUAGCCGACCUGAGAGGGUGACCGGCCACACUGGGACUGAGACACGGCCCAGACUCCUACGGGAGGCAGCAGUAGGGAAUUUUCGGCAAUGGGGGAAACCCUGACCGAGCAACGCCGCGUGAAGGAAGAAGUAAUUCGUUAUGUAAACUUCUGUCAUAGAGGAAGAACGGUGGAUAUAGGGAAUGAUAUCCAAGUGACGGUACUCUAUAAGAAAGCCACGGCUAACUACGUG